CACAGGGCCCAAUUAAUAAUAAGUUUGUGUUUGAGUGGUAUAGUGCAGCCGCAUUUCCAUCUUGGGUUCAAGGAAAUUUUAGGUUCCUGGAACUCUUAAAAGUACUAACCCUGAGCAAUGAUUUCUUUUGGCACCAAUAAAUGACCCCAGAACCGGAAUCUUGAACGCAC
This is a long non-coding RNA of Hippocampus comes (tiger tail seahorse), 170 nucleotides long. RefSeq lists it as uncharacterized. Lineage: Eukaryota; Metazoa; Chordata; Actinopteri; Syngnathiformes; Syngnathidae. The transcript has 2 exons. The record is from RefSeq and is a predicted model, not a curated record.